RNAcentral lists this non-coding RNA (19 nucleotides) under Aedes aegypti (yellow fever mosquito). Its record names the gene aae-miR-124. Lineage: Eukaryota; Metazoa; Arthropoda; Insecta; Diptera; Culicidae. The record is from miRBase by way of RNAcentral. RNAcentral also lists the same sequence under 6 other names.
UAAGGCACGCGGUGAAUGC